CGAACGCUGGCGGCAGGCUUAACACAUGCAAGUCGAACGCGUGUAGCAAUACACGAGUGGCGCACGGGUGAGUAACGCGUGGAUAUCUGCCUUUUGGUUCGGAAUAACUCCGGGAAACUGGAGCUAAUACCGGAUGGUUCCUACGGGAUAAAGAUUUAUCGCCAAAAGAUGAGUCCGCGUACGAUUAGCUAGUUGGUGAGGUAAUGGCUCACCAAGGCGACGAUCGUUAGCUGGUCUGAGAGGACGAUCAGCCACACUGGGACUGAGACACGGCCCAGACUCCUACGGGAGGCAGCAGUGGGGAAUAUUGGACAAUGGGGGCAACCCUGAUCCAGCCAUGCCGCGUGAGUGUGAAGGGCUUCGGGUUGUAAAGCUCUUUUGGCGGGGACGAUGAUGM
This 397-nucleotide ribosomal RNA is filed under the name uncultured Alphaproteobacteria bacterium. RNAcentral's name for it is "bacterial SSU rRNA". It matches the Rfam family "Bacterial small subunit ribosomal RNA", at positions 30 to 454 of the family's 1533-position model. The record is from RNAcentral. Lineage: Bacteria; Pseudomonadati; Pseudomonadota; Alphaproteobacteria.